AUCUGACUCUCAAGCUUUAAAAAGGACUACCUCAAUUGGUUGCAGCAUGUUCCAAUUACACAGAUAUGACACAACCAUUUUACAUGCCUAGAGCCAUUCAAAGGGAUGUCAUAAGGGAAAAGGCAAUUAAUAUUUGAAAGAAGGAACCUUUUUAUUUCCUCUGGCAUUUAUAUUAAUCUGUUCUAAUAGCAUCAAAGAAUACAAAAUACUUUUGAAAACAUUCUUGCUGAGUACUUUAUAAUAGGAAUGGCUGAUGUCUGGAUGCUCCACGUUGGGAUGACCUCCCAAGACCCAGCAGCCAUGCUGUGAGAAGGUCAGGUCAAAUGGAGAGGCCAUGUAUGAUUGCUCUGGUUAAUAGCCUCAAUUAACUGAGCCAUUUUGAAAGUGAACCUUGGGUGACCAGCACUCCUCAGCCAACAUCUGAUUACAAUAUUUUGAAAGACCAUAAGUGAGAAUCCUUUGAUUGUCCAGAAUUCUACAAGUUUACAGGAAUGAAUAGCUUUACUCCAAUCAAGGAAGGAUUUAUCUUCAGUAAUCACAUUCCUCACAUUUGGCUGUGUGGCCACAUUCUGUGUUAAUGAGGCUGUUGAGUAUUAUCUUGAUCCACAGAACGUGUGCUGUAGAAAGUGAUUUGAACAUCUCCUGUCUUCCUACCACAAAUUAAGGGUUAUGGCAUCUUGCCUAUGGUUGAAGUUUGCUAUAUAACCAAUCCCAGAAAGACUGAGGACUGAGGAUUUCUAUGGACAAUAAUGUCACUUGCAAAGUGGAAGGUCUUGGUAAGAGAAGUCCAAGUUUCUAAGAAAAUGGGGCAAACAAUUCAAUUCAUCAGUAUUUCUGGUUUGUAGGGCUUCUCAAAAUGUAUCUUGCAAGUCUAAAGUGAUCCAGACUUUUGUAAGAUAUUUUAAUUAUGAAAAAAAUACAAUCAGAUGCAGGGAAAGAUUACAGAAAUGAUUAGAAUGGAUCAGAGAGAUUUAGAUUUAAGUCAGGAAGCUGCCACCUACUAGCUUCGACUCUGGAAAAAUGCUUGUGUUUUGGUCCUCUACUCAUGAAUUAGAAAGUUCACCCAACAACCAUGCCACCACUCCUAUUUUUGUUUAGCUGUUUUUAAGCUAUAUUAAGAUGAUGAGAAAUGGAAAAAAUGGAAAUAAAGUCUUUGUAAAUAGGGAAGGGUGGAAGGCGUGAAGGGAGGGCUAGGAAUGGGGAAAAAAUAAGAACCAAGAUGCAUUAUGUAAAGGUACAAUUCCCAAUGAGAAAUGUAAUUGUGUUGUAU
This is a long non-coding RNA of Heterocephalus glaber (naked mole-rat), 1270 nucleotides long. Lineage: Eukaryota; Metazoa; Chordata; Mammalia; Rodentia; Bathyergidae. The record is from Ensembl.